CUGACUCAAAUCAACUGCAGCUCUCCUGCAACUCGUUGCCAGAUUGUUUCUUCUCCUUUGUGGUACAGUGUCUCUCCAAUUUAUUUUAGAUUCUCCAAUUAAAGAGAGAUGCCUGGAGUCCAGCUGUUCGAAUGUGCCAGUGUAUAGAACUCUCUCUCCCACUGCCCCCCUCCUCCCAUCACUCCUGUGAACGAGCACUGACGGCACCUUUUGCUGAUUGGCUGGAACGAUGUUGUGGGCAAGGAUUCCAGUACCAGCGUAUUUGUUUCACCAUUCACGACUCGCUGCCUCAGCUCAACUUCCACCAUACUACACCUUCAGCUUGCCUGCCUUCAUACUGUCUGCCUAAACAUACUGUAAUGCUG
Molecule: long non-coding RNA, 365 nt
Organism: Micropterus dolomieu (smallmouth bass)
Lineage: Eukaryota; Metazoa; Chordata; Actinopteri; Centrarchiformes; Centrarchidae
Exons: 3
Source: RefSeq, a predicted model, not a curated record